This 540-nucleotide ribosomal RNA is filed under the name Trigonopterus sp. 91 AR-2022a. RNAcentral describes it as "partial large subunit ribosomal RNA". The record is from RNAcentral. Lineage: Eukaryota; Metazoa; Arthropoda; Insecta; Coleoptera; Curculionidae.
GUCUUGUUGAUUAUAAUUUCAAGUYUGACCUGCCCGGUGAGGGAGUUUAAACGGCCGCGGUAUUCUGACCGUGCAAAGGUAGCAUAAUCAUUAGUUUUUUAAUUGAAAGCUUGAAUGAAAGGUUUGAUGAAAAGAAGACUGUCUCUAUGAAAAUUUGUUAGAAUUUUAUUUUUAAGUUAAAAAGCUUAAAUUUGAAUAGAAGACGAGAAGACCCUAUAGAGUUUUAUAUUUUUGGGAUAUUAAAGUUUGAGGAUUGAAAAAUUUUAGUAUUUUUAGAAGUAUUUUGUUGGGGUGAUAGGAAAAUUUAAUGAACUUUUUUUUUGUAUAUAAACAUUUAUUUGUGGGUAGAUGAUCCUAGGAUAUAGAUUAUAAGACUAAAUUACCUUAGGGAUAACAGCGUAAUUUUUUUUAGAGUUCUUAUCGAAAGAAAAGAUUGCGACCUCGAUGUUGGAUUAAAAUUAAUUGCUGGCGCAGAGGCUAGAAAAUUAGGUCUGUUCGACCUUUAAAAUUUUACAUGAUCUGAGUUUAAACCGGUGUGAG